Molecule: ribosomal RNA, 253 nt
Filed under: uncultured bacterium
Lineage: Bacteria
Description: partial 16S ribosomal RNA
Rfam family: Bacterial small subunit ribosomal RNA
Source: RNAcentral
UACGUAGGGCGCAAGCGUUGUCCGGAAUUAUUGGGCGUAAAGAGCUCGUAGGCGGCUUGUCACGUCGGGUGUGAAAGCCCGGGGCUUAACCCCGGGUCUGCAUUCGAUACGGGCAGGCUAGAGUGUGGUAGGGGAGAUCGGAAUUCCUGGUGUAGCGGUGAAAUGCGCAGAUAUCAGGAGGAACACCGGUGGCGAAGGCGGAUCUCUGGGCCUUACCUGACGCUCAGGCGCGAAAGCUAGGGGAGCGAACCGG